Salvelinus fontinalis (brook trout) is the source of this 2991-nucleotide long non-coding RNA. RefSeq lists it as uncharacterized. The record is from RefSeq and is a predicted model, not a curated record. The transcript has 3 exons. NCBI's taxonomy places the organism in Eukaryota, Metazoa, Chordata, Actinopteri, Salmoniformes, Salmonidae.
AAAUUACAGGCCUCUCUCAUCUUUUUAAGUAGGAGAACUUGCACAAUUGGUGGCUGACUAAAUUCUUUUUUGCCCCACUGUAUGUAUGAUGUACAACGCUCACAACAUGGCGUCAUCGGGGAUGUAUAUUGCCAUGGUGAGCACCACUGUAGAGACCAGUAACCCAGAGAAGUAAGUGCAGCCUGGGAUGGAACUGCUGGAGCCCAUUCAUCAGAGAUUUGUUUCUGUCAGCAACAUGAUGGUCCCCAUUGCUGAUGGAAGGAAAAGUCAGAUCUUUGUGUCUCGCUCCUAUGACGCCACGACACACUUUGAGACUGAGUGUGAGGAUAUCAGGGAUUUCCAUCGCCGCAACACAGGAUGAGAAUUCAUCUUUGGUGACUUGUGCAGAGACUGUGAUGAUGGUGACGUGAUGAGGACAAAAGGACGUUCCUCCCAUUUUGAACAUUGGUUCGAUUCCCACUUGGGUCUCCUAUACAAAAAUGUAUGCACACGCUUGGACAAAGCAUCUGCUAAAUGGCAAAUAUUACAAUAAUAUUAUAUUGCGGUUGUCUGUCAUGUCUUUGUUUUUGUGUUUUUUAAGCAGCCCUUAGAUUGACCUCUUGUAUCUCCCAGAAUUCCCUGCUUGACAGCUACUGUAUGUCAUUGUAAAUGUUCCAUUUAUCAUGUGGUAGAUACUCUUCUACUCUCUUUGAUGGUAUCGAGACUGGAGAGUGGUACGCUAAAUAACUUCCUGUUGAUUUAAUACCCUGUCUAAUAAACACCACACUUAAUUUGACUGUGGCCUGUGCAUCAUUAUAGAGUAUAGAGACAAAGUGGAGUCGCAAUUCAACAGCUCAGACACAAGGCGAAUGUGGCAGGAUCUACAGACAAUCACGGACUACAAAGGGAAAACCAGCCACUUUGUGGACACCGACGUCUUGCUUCCGGACAAGCUAAACACGUUCUUCACCCGCUUUGAGGAUAACACAGUACCACCAAUGCAGCCCGCUACCAAGGACUGUGGGCUCUCCUCCGUGGCUGACCGUGGCCGACAUUUAAGCGUGUUAACCCUCGCAAGGCUGCCGGCCCAGACGGCAUCACUAGCUGCGUCCUCAGAGCAUGCGCAGACCAGCUGGCUGGAGUGUUUACGGACAUAUUCGAUCUCUCCCUAUACCAGGCUGCUGUCCCCACUCGCUUUAAGAUGUCCACCAUUGUUCCUGUACGCAAGAAAGCAAAGGUAACUGAACUAAAUAACUAUCGCCCAGUAGCACUCACUUCUGUCAUCAUGAAGUGCUUUGAGAGGCUAGUUAAGGAUCAUAUCACCUCUACCUUACCUGUCACCCUAAACCCACUUCAAUUUGCUUACCGCCCCAAUAUAUCUACAGAUGAUGCAAUCGCCAUCGCACUGCACACUGCCCUAUCCCAUCUGGACAAGAGGAAUACCUAUGUAAGAUUGUUGUUCAUUGACUAUAGCUCAGCCUUCAACACCAUAGUACCCUCCAAGCUCAUCAUUAAGCUCGGGGCCCUGGGUCUGAACCCUGCCCUGUGCAACUGGGUCCUGGACUUCCACUUCGCUGAUCCUCAACACAGGGGCCCCACAAGGGUGCGUGCUCAGCCCCCUCCUGUACUCCAUGUUCACUCAUGACUGCACAGCCAUGCACGCCUCCAACUCAAUCAUCAAGUUUGCAGAUGACACAACAGUAGUAGGCCUGAUUAUCAACAAUGACAGGACAGCCUGCAGAGAGGAGGUGAGGGCCCUGGGAGUGUGGUGCCAGGAAAAUAACCUCUCACUCAAUGUUGGCAAAACAAUGGAGUUGAUAGUGGACUGAUCAUCGACAGGAUCACAGUGGAGCAGGUGGAAAGCUUCAAGUUCCUCAGCGCACACAUCACUGACGAUCUGAAAUGGUCCACCCACACAGACAGUGUGGUGAAGAAGGCGCAACAGCACCUCUUCAACCUCAGGAGGCUGAAGAAAUUUGUAUUGGCACCUAAAACCCUCACAAACUUUUACAGAUGCGCAAUUGAGAGCAUCCUGUUGGGCUGUAUCACUGCCUGGUACGGCAACUGCACCGCCCACAACUGCAGGGCUCUCCAGAGGGUGGUGCGGUCUGCCCAAUGCAUCACCGGGGGCAAACUACCUGCUCUCAAUGACACCUACAUCACCCAAUGUCACAGGAAGGCCAAAAAUAUCAUCAAGGACAACAACCACCCAAGCCACAGCCUGUUCACCCUGCUAUCAUCCAGAAGGCGAGGUCAGUACAAGUGCAUCAAAGCUGGGACCGAGAGACUGAAAAACAGCUUCUAUCUCAAGGCCAUCAGACUGUUAAAUAGCAUUCACUAGGCGGCUUCCACCCGGAUAUUUAACCCUGCACCUUACAGGCUGCUUCCCCAUAUACAUAGACUUGAAAUCAUUGGUCACUUAAUAAUGGAACACUAUUCACUUUAAUGUUUACAUAUUUUUGCUCUACUCAUCUCAUAUGUAUAUACUGUAUUUUAUUCUACUGCAUUUUAGUCUAAUCCACUCCAACAUUGCUCUUCUUAAUUUGUAUAUAUUUCUUAAUUCCAUUCUUUUACUUUUAGGUUGUGUGUAUUGUUGUGAAUUGUUAGAUAUUACUGCACUGUUGGAGCUAGAAACGCACGCAUUUCGCAACACCAGCAAUAACAUCUGCUUAACAUGUGUUUGUGACAAAUAAUAUUUGAUUUGAUUUAUAUUCUUCCGAGUUUAGUGUAUUAGGAGUAUGUGAUUGCGUGUGAAUGAAUGGUUGAAUGAUUGAAUGAAUGGCCAUGUGUUUGUGUGGUGAAGCAAAACUAGAAUGAUGAUUAGUUGAUACACGUAUCCUGCAGAUUAUCUCUGAGAAGAACAAAGCCAUGGAAUUGCGUUACAUAUUGCAUUAUGUUAUAUUUUGAGACCGAUAGAGAAACGGGUGGUGCGGAGAGGUAAGGGUAGAAGAUAGACAAUGAGAUUAGAGGUUUACUAAUCCAAAUGAAGGACAGUCACCUUGGGUAUAUCCC